Long non-coding RNA from Mya arenaria, 3127 nucleotides. RefSeq lists it as uncharacterized. The transcript has 4 exons. Lineage: Eukaryota; Metazoa; Mollusca; Bivalvia; Myida; Myidae. The record is from RefSeq and is a predicted model, not a curated record.
CUGUGGCACUUUAAAAUUUCCAGCACUAUGUCUACUGUUGUAAGAAUGUGUGGAUGAGACUAAAGUAAAAUGUUCAUGUAAGUAUGAUGGGCAUUUGCUAUUAAAGAUUUUAUGUACAUGGUUUAGUCGUAGUUGCUUUAUCCUAUUUUCUAUAUUAAGCCAUCCAAUAUCACUGAAAGCCGAGACUUAUGAUGUCAUCAACUUGAAAUUUUCCCUUAGGUGCCCCAGAUUAUCAGCUACAUCACACAUGAUUUACUUCUGCUGAUCAUUUGAUGUAAACAGGAAAGUUGAUGCAGUUUAAGAUUUUUGGUUUAUGUUGUGGUCUGGGGAUUAGCGGGGACAUUGACCUUCGAUCCAGCCAACCCCAGCUAAAACUACCGUCCUGCAGGGACAAAACGAUGGUAAAUUUGCACCAAAUGCAGCUGCAUCCCAGGGACCCUGGCCUAGGUAAGGCCCAUUCCCCGCUAUAUUUAAAGCGAAGACAAAACCACUGCAUUCUCCCGGCACUGCAGGACCACCGGAAAGGUCCUCAACUUCUUUAAUGCCAAAACACUAACACAGGUGGUUGUAACCAGCUGUGCCAAACCUGUCCCCUUGGCCAAAAUGAUCCCGAGCUGGUUUGGUUGUUGGCUCCUUGUAACCGAGGAAAAAAACAGUUUGAAAAUCUAAAUGUUCAGGACAAAGGAUGUGAGCCAGUUAGCCAGGAGCAGUCUUCAAAGUCACAAAUGCAGAAAGUGCUGUGUUCUUCGAGAAACAAAAGCUUUUAUACAGACAAUAACAGGCCUACAAGACUAUCUGUGGAGGCAACAAUACCUCAUCAAAUGUUCUUUUUAAAAAAAGAAGAUACCUCAUAGACAUAAAAAUGCAGUUGAAGGGAUUGUACACCAGAUUGGCAUCAAAAAAAAGUUUUUUUCUGUAACAAAUCUGAGGACAAUUAUUUAAUGGAAUGUGUUAAGCUGUGAUAUCAUAAUUGUAAAAUAGGUACAAAAAUGUAAAAAAAAAAUUGUGUCGAAGACCGGAUUCAAUGCUGUGUCGACUAAAUUGCAAUCCACUGUGCUACGAAUGCUUACUCCAAACGAGUGGUAUAUUUAAACUAUAUACCUGAUAUCACGUGAUAGCAUCGAAUAGCCAAUCACGCUUUAGGAAUGAAUUCUACUAGGUAGACAUACCCAGUAAUCUUUUUUAAUGGAAAGAUAUGAAAUAACUGCUAAACUUAAAUAAAAUUGUAAACUAUGUGGUACUUCAGUUGGUAAGUGUCAAUGCAUUGUACACAUAAAUACCAAGUAGUUGCCAAGUAUAUAUGUCAGUUUUCGACAAUUUUCUUUUUUUCUUGCAAAUUAAUCAUCUGGUGCACAGUUGCUUUAAAGAUGUUACUUGUCCUUUGAAAUGAAGAAAUGUAAAGUUCCAUCAAUAUCAAAAUAGUUCCUCAAUUGAUAAUUUGUUUUAAAUCAAUGGUGAAUGAGAUCAUUGGGAAUUUAUUGAAUCCAAAGUAUACAGUUUUUUUGGAACGAUUUCAUUGAAUGAAAAUUAAGCAUUAUAUUCUUUAUAAACUUAUUAACUUUUUUUGAGUUGAGGCCUUUCUUUUUUAAUAAAUUGGUUAACGGAUCUACCGCCCAAUUAUUUCGAAAAGUCCCCCCCCCCCCUCCAAUUUUUUUGGUUAUUUGUUUUUUAAAAAAAUAUUGAAAAAGUGACACUAUAACUAAAAGGUUGUAAUAAUAUUGACUUUUAAUGUCACAUUAUUUGAAAUUGGAAGUGUAUAAUAUGCUUAUAUAAUGAUUACAAUAACUGAAAUUUGAAAUUGGUAGGUGAGAACAUUGGACUGUCAAGUCAAAAAUAUAUGUAUGACAAAGUGAGCUUUUGAACAUAUCAAUAUUCAUUAUAAUAUUGAGGCAUUGCAGACAUUUUGUUGCAUAGAAAUCAAAGCAUUUCAAAUGCCAUUCAUAUGUAUCUAUGAACAUGUCUUUCCUUUUUGGUGUUAAUUUUUAUCUUUUGGUUUUGGGUUUGGCCACAAACGCUAUGAAAAAUAUGUAUUCACUACUAUUGUAAAAAAAGAUGAGUAUGAAAUCCUUUUUUUUCUUAUUUUUCACAUCACCACCCGUCCAACAUUUUUCCAAAAAAAAAAUAUGUUGACCAAUUUAUAAAAAAAAUGGCGUUAUUUUGAUAUCUGUAUUGAGAUUGUAUUUGUUUAAAACCAAUUAGUUUCAUUUUUCUUAUUCAAUAUUGAUCUUAUCCUUAUCUUAAAACAUGCCUCAGUGAUUUCAUUCAGCCUAUUGGUCAGCUAAAUAUGCAUGCCAAUCAAAAGUCUUAGUUCCCAAUCUUAGUUGCUUCUUGAAUACCGCACAUGAUCUAAAGGUAUUUUGGCAUACACUUGUUGAAAAGGUGGCUGUUGUAUGUAAUGAAAUUCUCUAUCAUAACUUACUGCCAGGAUAAUACUUUUUUAUCACUUUUUAGUGUACAUAUAUCUGUCAACAUUGUUCAUUUUUGAAAAAAAUGAAUUAAUCAUUCCUGUAGCGUUUUAAUAUUAAAAUAUUUUCAUUGUUUUAUGUCUACAUGCAUAUUUUUAAAACAAAUUGAAAAUGAGAGGCAUGAUCAUUGAAUUUCCUUUGUUAAGAAAUAAGUGCAGAUCCAUGACAGCCAGCAAUAAUUUCUUUUGAGAUGGCAGUUUCAUGUAAAAUGGAAAAAAAAUAUACUUCACAUAAUACACUUUAAAAGUAGCAGGUUUAUCCAUUCUUCAUUAAUGCAUGUAAGCAAAUUCUAAAAGUUUUACUUAAAUCUUUUUAUUCUCGAAAUAUGAUUUGUAAAGCAUCAUAAAUAGAUUGUUUUUAUAAAAGAAAGUCCCAUGUAAACAUUACUUAAAGCAAAGUCAUAUUAAUUUUACUAAACAUUUUGUAAAUUAUGUGUUCAGUUUAAUUGCAAAUUAAAUGUGUGUGCCAGUCUGAACACAGGACAAAUGACAUAGUUGUUUGCUCAUUCAUUAAAAAAACAUGGAGACAAAACGUAUUUUCAAGUAUUAACUAUGUAUUUAAGGUUGAAACAGAUUUUUCUUAUAUUUUUCUAGUUGACUGCGAUUUUGUAGCAAUCACAGUUUUUCUUAACCAUAUAGGCUAUUUUGACCAGAAUUGUUGGG